UACGUAGGGGGCAAGCGUUGUCCGGAAUCAUUGGGCGUAAAGAGCGUGUAGGCGGCCCGAUAAGUCCGCUGUGAAAGUCCAGGGCUCAACCCUGGAAUGCCGGUGGAUACUGUCGGGCUCGAAUCCGGAAGAGGUGAGUGGAAUUCCUGGUGUAGCGGUGAAAUGCGUAGAUAUCAGGAGGAACACCAAUGGCGAAGGCAGCUCACUGGGACGGUAUUGACGCUGAGACGCGAAAGCGUGGGGAGCAAACAGG
This 253-nucleotide ribosomal RNA is filed under the name uncultured bacterium. RNAcentral's name for it is "partial 16S ribosomal RNA". It matches the Rfam family "Bacterial small subunit ribosomal RNA", at positions 524 to 776 of the family's 1533-position model. The record is from RNAcentral.